GAUGAAGAACGUAGCGAAAUGCGAUAAGUAAUGUGAAUUGCAGAAUUCAGUGAAUCAUCGAAUCUUUGAACGCACAUUGCGCCCGCCAGCAUUCUGGCGGGCAUGCCUGUUCGAGCGUCAUUUCAACCCUCAAGCUCUGCUUGGUGUUGGGGCCCUACGGUUGACGUAGGCCCUUAAAGGUAGUGGCGGACCCUCUCGGAGCCUCCUUUGCGUAGUAACUAACGUCUCGCACUGGGAUUCGGAGGGACUCUUGCCGUAAAACCCCCAAAUUUUUAAAGGUUGACCUCGGAUCAGGUAGGAAUACCCGCUGAACUUAAGCAUAUAAUAGCGGAGGA
This 335-nucleotide unclassified non-coding RNA is filed under the name soil metagenome. RNAcentral's name for it is "partial contains 5.8S ribosomal RNA, internal transcribed spacer 2, and large subunit ribosomal RNA". The stretch from base 1 to 120 matches the Rfam family "5.8S ribosomal RNA", at positions 35 to 154 of the family's 154-position model. The record is from RNAcentral.